Molecule: ribosomal RNA, 442 nt
Filed under: uncultured bacterium
Lineage: Bacteria
Description: partial 16S ribosomal RNA
Rfam family: Bacterial small subunit ribosomal RNA
Source: RNAcentral
CCUACGGGUGGCAGCAGUAGGGAAUCUUUCACAAUGGGCGAAAGCCUGAUGGAGCAACGCCGCGUGCAGGAUGAAGGCCUUCGGGUUGUAAACUGCUUUUAUAAGCGAGGAAUAUGAUGGUAACUUAUGAAUAAGGAUCGGCUAACUACGUGCCAGCAGCCGCGGUCAUACGUAGGACCCGAGCAUUAUCCGGAGUGACUGGGUGUAAAGAGUUGCGUAGGUGGUAUAGUAAGUAGCUAGUGAAAUCUGGUGGCUCAACCAUUCAGAUUAUUAGCUAAACUGGUAAGCUCGAGACCGUUAGAGGUAACUGGAAUUCCUGGUGUAGGAGUGAAAUGCGUAGAUAUUAGGAGGAACACCGAUAGCGUAGGCAGGUUACUGGGACGGUUCUGACGCUAAGGCACGAAAGCGUAGGGAGCAAACGGGAUUAGAUACCCCAGUAGUC